CAGAGUGCAAACGCCAUGCUGGGAGAACCACUCCUCUCUUCAGAGCUGUCAGACGGGGACAUUUAAGUCUGCGGAAGUUGUCUGCUGCUUUUUGUUCAGCUAUGCUCUUCCCACAGAGGUGGAGUCUAGAGGCAGUAGGCCUUGUUGAGCUGUGGUGGGCUCCACCCAGUUCAAGCUUCCCGGAGGCUUUGUUUACCUACUCAAGCCUCAGCAAUGGCAGACGCCCCUCCCCCAGCCAAGCUGCCAUCUUGCAGAUCGAUCUCAGACUGCUAUGCUAGCAGUGAGCAAGGCUCCAUCAGCGUGGGUGCUGCUGAGCCAGGCACGGGAGAGAAUCUGCCGGUUGCUAAGACCUUGGGAAAAGCACAGUAUUUGGGCGGGAGUGUCCCAUUUUUCCAGGUAGUCUGUCACGGCUUUCCUUGGCUAGGAAAGGGAAAUUCCCCGACCCCUUGUGCUUUCAGGGUGAGGUGAUGCCCUGCCCUGCUUCGGCUCACCCUCUGUGGGUUGCACCCACUGUCCAACCAGUCCCAAUGAGAUGAACCGGGUACCUCAGCUGGAAAUCCAGAAAUCGCCUGUCUUCUGUGUGGAUCAUGCUGGGAGCUUCAGACCAGAGCUGUUCCUAUUCGGCCAUCUUGACUCUGACUGUAUUUAUUUUAUUUUGGGAAAUGUGCAGGCAGAGGCAGGCACUGUCGGGAUGGACAUCUUCAGAAAGCAUCUCUCCCAACACCUUUGUAAUGAGAUCUCUCAAUUUCCUCUACUCGGAGCUUGGAUUUUAUUUUCCUGACUGGAUCUUGACCAACACGACGAGCAACAAUGGCAGUUUGAACCCUAGCAGUGUAGGAAGAGCAAAUAUAUGGAUUUGAGAUAGUUUUUGAAAUUCUGUAUGAACUGACUGAAGACAGUGGAGAAAUGAGAUAAUCUACAAGCUACAUCUAGAAUUUCCUAGCACCCUGAGCAGGAUUAAUUAAUUUCUGGCCAAAGUUAGCUGGCAUUAACUUGACUAAGGAAAACAAAUGAACAUCAUGGACCUGCCCUGAAGCCCUCAUCAGUGGUCAUGAAGUCAGCAAUUGGAAUCAAGCUAAUAUCACUCCACCCAC
This 1094-nucleotide long non-coding RNA is filed under the name Homo sapiens (human). RNAcentral's name for it is "HSALNT0193730". The record is from RNAcentral. Lineage: Eukaryota; Metazoa; Chordata; Mammalia; Primates; Hominidae.